Molecule: long non-coding RNA, 311 nt
Filed under: Lupinus angustifolius (narrow-leaved blue lupine)
Lineage: Eukaryota; Viridiplantae; Streptophyta; Magnoliopsida; Fabales; Fabaceae
Description: long non-coding RNA (LANG_LNC001041)
Source: RNAcentral
UUCUAUUGUAGUCAUGCACACAACUCAGAAAUGCCAAACUGUGUGAGACAAUGUAAACUUUUUAAAAAUGUAAACUUUAUCAACAACAUAAGAAACAACAAAAAAUGUAAACUUUGACUCCCAAACAAAAUCUAUACGGGAAUGAAAACUCAAACAAAGUACCAAAGGAGACCCAUUAUUUAACAAAGUGAUUGUAGUCAUGCAGAGAACCCAGAAAUGUCAAACUGUAUGAGAUAAUAUAAACUUUUUAUCAUCUUCAAAAUGUGAUAUUUUAAUAAAUAAGUUUUCAGUGAUGAACAAUAAAAGGUUUG